GUUACAGGACGCUCGCUAACGGUUAGCUGUAACUUCAGAUGAACGUUUACGUGAAAUGUAACGUUACUUCUUUAAAAACAGGUUUUGUCACACGAAAGAGUGGAAGAUCACGAUGACCUCAUGCACAUAUUUGCAGAGCAGAUCACGCCACUGGUGGAGUCCCACGGGCCUUACUUCCUGUCUGAGCUCAUCGAGGCUCAGGACGCAGAGAACCAUGCAGCUGUCUGCGAAGAAUGACAGGACAACAGAUCGCCCCACUCUCUCCCCUGCGGCGCAUGCUGACAUGUGUUCAUGCGACAUAUGGCAGAUGAGAGCUCAUGCCCUGCCAAGACAUACUCACACUGAACAUAUUGUGUCCAGACAUCUGUAGCAGUUUUGCCUUUUGUCUGAAUGUCCCGUCCAUUCAGCGGGACAACUGUACUACAUUGCCCAGGAGGAUUUAAAAAAAUAAUAAUUUUCCAGAGAAAAUUCAUAAAUUAUUAAAGAGGUGUUGUUUUUUCUAGGUUUCUAACUCUAACUCUAACUUUAUGAGAGUUUGAAAUUAUAUAUGGGUGAAUCUCAUGAAAUCUGUCAAGAGCAUCUCCAGGUCAUAUUUCACACCAAAAUCCAACAGAAAUAAGAAUGGAUUACGUUUUUGAAGAAAAAGACAACUAUUUUUAGUAACAUUUAGCAUUUUUUUAUCAUAAUUUUAUCUCAAAUUUGCAGAGAUUUGCAGAAAAAGCCUAAUAAUACCUAUUUUGAUGAUGCUAAGUUCAAAAAUACUAUUAAAACUUUCCAUCACAUACA
This is a long non-coding RNA of Cyprinus carpio (common carp), 786 nucleotides long. NCBI's taxonomy places the organism in Eukaryota, Metazoa, Chordata, Actinopteri, Cypriniformes, Cyprinidae. The record is from Ensembl.